UACGAAGGGGGCUAGCGUUGUUCGGAAUCACUGGGCGUAAAGGGCGCGUAGGCGGCUUGAUAAGUCGGGGGUGAAAGCCUGUGGCUCAACCACAGAAUUGCCUUCGAUACUGUCGAGCUUGAGACCGGAAGAGGUAAGUGGAACUGCGAGUGUAGAGGUGAAAUUCGUAGAUAUUCGCAAGAACACCAGUGGCGAAGGCGGCUCACUGGACCGGUAUUGACGCUGAGGUGCGAAAGCGUGGGGAGCAAACAGG
This 253-nucleotide ribosomal RNA is filed under the name uncultured bacterium. RNAcentral's name for it is "partial 16S ribosomal RNA". It matches the Rfam family "Bacterial small subunit ribosomal RNA", at positions 524 to 776 of the family's 1533-position model. The record is from RNAcentral.